Molecule: transfer RNA, 70 nt
Filed under: Dipodomys ordii (Ord's kangaroo rat)
Lineage: Eukaryota; Metazoa; Chordata; Mammalia; Rodentia; Heteromyidae
Rfam family: tRNA
About the family: Transfer RNA (tRNA) molecules are approximately 80 nucleotides in length. Their secondary structure includes four short double-helical elements and three loops (D, anti-codon, and T loops). Further hydrogen bonds mediate the characteristic L-shaped molecular structure. tRNAs have two regions of fundamental functional importance: the anti-codon, which is responsible for specific mRNA codon recognition, and the 3' end, to which the tRNAs corresponding amino acid is attached (by aminoacyl-tRNA synthetases). tRNAs cope with the degeneracy of the genetic code in two manners: having more than one tRNA (with a specific anti-codon) for a particular amino acid; and 'wobble' base-pairing, i.e. permitting non-standard base-pairing at the 3rd anti-codon position.
Source: Rfam by way of RNAcentral
GGGAAGGUGGCUCAGUGGUAGAGUGCUUGCCUUGCAUGCAUGAAGCCCUGGGUUUGAUUCCUCAGUCCCA